This 83-nucleotide transfer RNA is filed under the name alpha proteobacterium HIMB114. RNAcentral's name for it is "tRNA-Leu". It matches the Rfam family "tRNA". From Rfam's summary of the family: Transfer RNA (tRNA) molecules are approximately 80 nucleotides in length. Their secondary structure includes four short double-helical elements and three loops (D, anti-codon, and T loops). The record is from RNAcentral. RNAcentral also lists the same sequence under 6 other names. Lineage: Bacteria; Pseudomonadati; Pseudomonadota; Alphaproteobacteria; Candidatus Pelagibacterales; Candidatus Pelagibacteraceae.
GGGCGAAUGGCGGAAUUGGUAGACGCAGCGGACUCAAAAUCCGCCGGGAAACCUUAAGGGUUCGACUCCCUUUUCGCCCACCA